Molecule: ribosomal RNA, 688 nt
Filed under: uncultured Pseudoalteromonas sp.
Lineage: Bacteria; Pseudomonadati; Pseudomonadota; Gammaproteobacteria; Alteromonadales; Pseudoalteromonadaceae
Description: bacterial SSU rRNA
Rfam family: Bacterial small subunit ribosomal RNA
Source: RNAcentral
UGCAAGUCGAGCGGUAACAGAAAGUAGCUUGCUACUUUGCUGACGAGCGGCGGACGGGUGAGUAAUGCUUGGGAACAUGCCUUGAGGUGGGGGACAACAGUUGGAAACGACUGCUAAUACCGCAUAAUGUCUACGGACCAAAGGGGGCUUCGGCUCUCGCCUUUAGAUUGGCCCAAGUGGGAUUAGCUAGUUGGUGAGGUAAUGGCUCACCAAGGCGACGAUCCCUAGCUGGUUUGAGAGGAUGAUCAGCCACACUGGGACUGAGACACGGCCCAGACUCCUACGGGAGGCAGCAGUGGGGAAUAUUGCACAAUGGGCGCAAGCCUGAUGCAGCCAUGCCGCGUGUGUGAAGAAGGCCUUCGGGUUGUAAAGCACUUUCAGUCAGGAGGAAAGGUUAGUAGUUAAUACCUGCUAGCUGUGACGUUACUGACAGAAGAAGCACCGGCUAACUCCGUGCCAGCAGCCGCGGUAAUACGGAGGGUGCGAGCGUUAAUCGGAAUUACUGGGCGUAAAGCGUACGCAGGCGGUUUGUUAAGCGAGAUGUGAAAGCCCCGGGCUCAACCUGGGAACUGCAUUUCGAACUGGCAAACUAGAGUGUGAUAGAGGGUGGUAGAAUUUCAGGUGUAGCGGUGAAAUGCGUAGAGAUCUGAAGGAAUACCGAUGGCGAAGGCAGCCACCUGGGUCAACA